Salarias fasciatus (jewelled blenny) is the source of this 1788-nucleotide long non-coding RNA. The record is from Ensembl. Lineage: Eukaryota; Metazoa; Chordata; Actinopteri; Blenniiformes; Blenniidae.
AUGUCCAAGCACCUGCCGUACCGCCAGAACUCCUACCACUGCGAGCACUGCCGCCGGCUGGAGCUGCACGCAGUGCAACAUUGUUUCAGGAAGUGCACCGGGCUGAUCGAGCAAAAGUGUAAACUGCUCAUCGACGGCAUCCUGGCCACGCUGGUCAUCUUCCUGGUCCUGGAGCUGCUGAUCUGCAUCACGGCUAUGCUAUUCGGACUCAGCGUCCUGGCUGCUCGAGGCCGGCAGACUCCCACCAGUAAACCCGCCUACCCUCAGAGCCGCCCCCCUCCCGCCCCCGUGGUGUCAGCUGCUCCUGGUCCCACUGGUCCUCUUGUUCCUGCUGGUCCCACUGGUCCCUCUGGUCCCACUGGUCCCACUGGUCCUGCCGGUCCUGCUGGUCCCUCUGGUCCUACUGUUGCCACUGUCCUGGUGGCCCAGGCUGCUGCAGAACCGUCUCAGGUGGAAGUGUUUGUGACUGAACCUGAUUCUGAGCAGGUGGAGGACGUCACCCCGCCCACCGAGCCCCAGGUGGAGCCCAUGGAGGGGGUCACCUCUGAGCCCUGAGACCGGCCUGAACCUGGACCUUGAACCAAGACCCUGAGCCCGCACCCUGAAUCUGGACAUUGAACGCACCCUGAACCCUGAACCCUGAACCCAGACUCUGAACCCAGACCAUGUACCUGUACCCUGAACCCUUACCCUGAGUCUGGACCUUGAACUCAAACCCUGGGCCUGCACCCUGAAUCUGUACAUUGAACUGACCCUGAACUUGGACCUUGAAUCCUGAACCCACCCUGAACCUGGACCCCGAACCUAGACCCUGGACCCUGAACCCAGGCCAUGAACCUGGAGCACAGCCCUAGCAAUGUACCCCCCUGUCGACCCCUGGUAGGUCCUGUCAUUGGGACUUGGUAGCUGAAAGUCUGAGAGGUUCCUGAGCAGUCCAGGUCUCUGAGUGGUUCCUGAGCGGUCCAGGUCUCUGAGGAGGGUUGGGGUUUCCGUCCCCCCCCAGCCAUGGGAUCUGCUGAUGUUCUGCUGAGUCGGCUCUUCUAACGGACCCGGUCUCUCUUUCACCUGGACUUUUUUUAACUCACAUUUUAAAAUAAACAGCAGUUUUUUUACUGGAACUCUCAAAAACCCGACUCAGCAAACCAGAUUCUCCCAAUCAGACUGUGACCCAGACCUGAAGACCCAGACUGGACUGUGACCCUUCAAAAUAAAGUGAUGAAUCCUAAACUGAUCCUGAACCAUGCCGACUGGAUUUUCCCUUUGACUCUUCAGAACUCUCUUAACAGUUUUCUCCUGUUGAAUGUUUAGUUUUCUAUUUGUAAUAUAACCACCUGUCUGGAGAGCGGCUCUUUAAACUCCUGCUUUUAUUUUUAUAAAGAAUGACCUGCAGAUUUCUUCUGCUGAGCACACAGUCUUUCCUUCAGGCAGGUUUAAUGUAAAAAUGACAUUUCAGUGUUUGAUCUUCCAGUCUCCUUCAUUAAGACCGAGCUGGCGGCUCUGAAAGAGCAUCAAUCCCUCCAGAGACUAAAAACCCUUCAGCACUGAAACACGGUGUUUCCACAGCUCAGCAGCUUCGUGAGUCGUAGACCUUUGCUAGUGUUUAAGGCGCAGAAUGUUUAGCUCCUCAGAGGUCGUCUUCUUCAGUAUAGAUCGAAGUCUUUGUGAAACCACGGGAUGGCAUGAACACAUAACACAUGAAUGUAUAAGGUGAACAUUAAAGUCAUGUAAUCACAGUGAAAAUAAAGGAAAAUCAUGAAAGAUUCAUCUCUGUUGUGUUUAUUUGGCUCA